Mauremys reevesii (Reeves's turtle) is the source of this 204-nucleotide long non-coding RNA. RefSeq lists it as uncharacterized. The record is from RefSeq and is a predicted model, not a curated record. The transcript has 3 exons. Lineage: Eukaryota; Metazoa; Chordata; Testudines; Geoemydidae.
CUGCAAGACGAGUGUGAUGUGUUUAGUAUGGAAGCAGCAACUUCAAACUGUAAUUCACCAGAGCAAGAUAUAUCAAGCCAAAGAACAAAACAAAAAACUCUGGUAAAAAGCAACAAUCCAAACACACCUUCAAUUUUUCAGUGGUCGACCCCACACAAAGCCCUAAGAAAGCUGUGAGUGAAAAUACAAAAUUCACAAACCCGA